Molecule: ribosomal RNA, 253 nt
Filed under: uncultured bacterium
Lineage: Bacteria
Description: partial 16S ribosomal RNA
Rfam family: Bacterial small subunit ribosomal RNA
Source: RNAcentral
UACGUAGGGGGCUAGCGUUGUCCGGAAUCAUUGGGCGUAAAGCGCGUGUAGGCGGCCCGGUAAGUCCGCUGUGAAAGUCGGGGGCUCAACCCUCGGAUGCCGGUGGAUACUGUCGGGCUCGAGUACGGAAGAGGCGAGUGGAAUUCCUGGUGUAGCGGUGAAAUGCGCAGAUAUCGGGAGGAACACCAAUGGCGAAGGCAGCUCGCUGGGACGGUACUGACGCUGAGACGCGAAAGCGUGGGGAGCAAACAGG